Molecule: ribosomal RNA, 505 nt
Filed under: uncultured bacterium
Lineage: Bacteria
Description: partial 16S ribosomal RNA
Rfam family: Bacterial small subunit ribosomal RNA
Source: RNAcentral
GACGAACGCUGGCGGCGUGCCUAAUACAUGCAAGUAGAACGCACAGUUUAUACCGUAGCUUGCUACACCAUAGACUGUGAGUUGCGAACGGGUGAGUAACGCGUAGGUAACCUGCCUGGUAGCGGGGGAUAACUAUUGGAAACGAUAGCUAAUACCGCAUAAUAUUAAUUAUUGCAUGAUAAUUGAUUGAAAGAUGCAACUGCAUCACUACCAUAUGGACCUGCGUUGUAUUAGCUAGUAGGUGAGGUAACGGCUCACCUAGGCGACGAUACAUAGCCGACCUGAGAGGGUGAUCGGCCACACUGGGACUGAGACACGGCCCAGACUCCUACGGGAGGCAGCAGUAGGGAAUCUUCGGCAAUGGACGAAAGUCUGACCGAGCAACGCCGCGUGAGUGAAGAAGGGUUUCGGAUCGUAAAGCUCUGUUGUAAGAGAAGAACGGGUGUGAGAGUGGAAAGUUCACACUGUGACGGUAUCUUACCAGAAAGGGACGGCUAACUACGUG